Molecule: ribosomal RNA, 2905 nt
Filed under: Pasteurella multocida
Lineage: Bacteria; Pseudomonadati; Pseudomonadota; Gammaproteobacteria; Pasteurellales; Pasteurellaceae
Description: 23S ribosomal RNA
Rfam family: Bacterial large subunit ribosomal RNA
Source: RNAcentral
GGUUAAGUGACUAAGCGUACAGGGCGGAUGCCUUGGCAAUCAGAGGCGAAGAAGGACGUGCUAAUCUGCGAAAAGCUUGGAUGAGUCGAUAAGAGGCGUUUAAUCCAAGAUGUCCGAAUGGGGAAACCCGAUGGAUGAAGAAUCCAUCAUUUCAUUGUGAAUACAUAGCAAUGAAAGGCGAACCGGGAGAACUGAAACAUCUAAGUACCCCGAGGAAAAGAAAUCAACCGAGAUUCUGUGAGUAGCGGCGAGCGAAAGCGGAAGAGCCAGUAAGUUUUAGCUAGUGUAUUAGAGGAAUUGGCUGGGAAGCCAAAUCAAAGAGGGUGAUAAUCCCGUACUCGAAAAUACGAUAGUGGAACUAAGCUUACGAUAAGUAGGGCGGGACACGAGAAAUCCUGUUUGAAGAUGGGGGGACCAUCCUCCAAGGCUAAAUACUCCUGAUUGACCGAUAGUGAACCAGUACUGUGAAGGAAAGGCGAAAAGAACCCCGGUGAGGGGAGUGAAAUAGAACCUGAAACCCUGUACGUACAAGCAGUAGGAGCGAGGGCAACCUUGUGACUGCGUACCUUUUGUAUAAUGGGUCAGCGACUUAUAUUUUGUAGCGAGGUUAACUGAAUAAGGGAGCCGAAGGGAAACCGAGUCUUAACUGGGCGUUGAGUUGCAAGGUAUAGACCCGAAACCCGGUGAUCUAGCCAUGGGCAGGUUGAAGGUUGGGUAACACUAACUGGAGGACCGAACCGACUAAUGUUGAAAAAUUAGCGGAUGACUUGUGGCUGGGGGUGAAAGGCCAAUCAAACCGGGAGAUAGCUGGUUCUCCCCGAAAUCUAUUUAGGUAGAGCCUUGAGCGGACACCUUCGGGGGUAGAGCACUGUUUCGGCUAGGGGUCCAUCCCGGAUUACCAACCCGAUGCAAACUGCGAAUACCGAAGAGUGAUACUCAGGAGACACACGGCGGGUGCUAACGUUCGUCGUGGAGAGGGAAACAACCCAGACCGCCAGCUAAGGUCCCAAAGUCUAUAUUAAGUGGGAAACGAAGUGGGAAGGCUUAGACAGCUAGGAUGUUGGCUUAGAAGCAGCCAUCAUUUAAAGAAAGCGUAAUAGCUCACUAGUCGAGUCGGCCUGCGCGGAAGAUGUAACGGGGCUCAAAUAUAGCACCGAAGCUGCGGCAUCAGAAUUUAUUCUGUUGGGUAGGGGAGCGUUGUGUAAGCGGAAGAAGGUGGCUCGAGAGGGUUGCUGGACGUAUCACAAGUGCGAAUGCUGACAUAAGUAACGAUAAAACGAGUGAAAAACUCGUUCGCCGGAAGACCAAGGGUUCCUGUCCAACGUUAAUCGGGGCAGGGUGAGUCGGCCCCUAAGGCGAGGCUGAAAAGCGUAGUCGAUGGGAAACGGGUUAAUAUUCCCGUACUUGGUAAAGCUGCGAUGUGGGGACGGAGAAGGUUAGGUAAGCGGACUGUUGGAAAUGUCCGUUUAAGUUGGUAGUUGGGAGCGGUAGGCAAAUCCGCUGCUCCAUUCAACAACGAGAGAUGAUGACGAGUUCCUAAGGGAAUGAAGUUACCGAUACCCGGCUUCCAGGAAAAGCCACUAAGCGAAAGGCUUUAUUAAACCGUACUGAAAACCGACACAGGUGGUCAGGUAGAGAAUACUCAGGCGCUUGAGAGAACUCGGGUGAAGGAACUAGGCAAAAUAGCACCGUAACUUCGGGAGAAGGUGCGCUUACAGUAAUUGUAGUCCCUCGCGGAUGAAGGUGAAGUAAGUCGAAGAUACCAGCUGGCUGCAACUGUUUUUAUUAAAAACACAGCACUCUGCAAACACGAAAGUGGACGUAUAGGGUGUGAUGCCUGCCCGGUGCUGGAAGGUUAAUUGAUGGUGUUAUCGAAAGAGAAGCUCCUGAUCGAAGCCCCAGUAAACGGCGGCCGUAACUAUAACGGUCCUAAGGUAGCGAAAUUCCUUGUCGGGUAAGUUCCGACCUGCACGAAUGGCAUAAUGAUGGCCAGGCUGUCUCCACCCGAGACUCAGUGAAAUUGAAAUCGCCGUGAAGAUGCGGUGUACCCGCGGCUAGACGGAAAGACCCCGUGAACCUUUACUAUAGCUUGACACUGAACAUUGAAUUUUGAUGUGUAGGAUAGGUGGGAGCCUUUGAAGCAGUGACGCCAGUCAUUGUGGAGGCGACCUUGAAAUACCACCCUUUAACGUUUGAUGUUCUAACGAAGUGCCUGAAACGGGUACUCGGACAGUGUCUGGUGGGUAGUUUGACUGGGGCGGUCUCCUCCCAAAGCGUAACGGAGGAGCACGAAGGUUUGCUAAUGACGGUCGGACAUCGUCAGGUUAGUGCAAUGGUAUAAGCAAGCUUAACUGCGAGACGGACAAGUCGAGCAGGUGCGAAAGCAGGUCAUAGUGAUCCGGUGGUUCUGAAUGGAAGGGCCAUCGCUCAACGGAUAAAAGGUACUCCGGGGAUAACAGGCUGAUACCGCCCAAGAGUUCAUAUCGACGGCGGUGUUUGGCACCUCGAUGUCGGCUCAUCACAUCCUGGGGCUGAAGUAGGUCCCAAGGGUAUGGCUGUUCGCCAUUUAAAGUGGUACGCGAGCUGGGUUUAGAACGUCGUGAGACAGUUCGGUCCCUAUCUGCCGUGGGCGUUGGAUGAUUGAUUGGGGCUGCUCCUAGUACGAGAGGACCGGAGUGGACGCAUCACUGGUGUUCCAGUUGUCUCGCCAGAGGCAUUGCUGGGUAGCUAAAUGCGGAAGAGAUAAGUGCUGAAAGCAUCUAAGCACGAAACUUGCCAAGAGAUGAGUCAUCCCUGACUUUAAGUCAGUAAGGGUUGUUUAAGACUAAGACGUAGAUAGGUUGGGUGUGUAAGUGUAGUGAUACAUUGAGCUAACCAAUACUAAUUGCCCGAGAGGCUUAACCAU